Molecule: long non-coding RNA, 2139 nt
Filed under: Gallus gallus (chicken)
Lineage: Eukaryota; Metazoa; Chordata; Aves; Galliformes; Phasianidae
Description: lncRNA (ENSGALG00010012258.1)
Source: RNAcentral
CGCCCGCCGCCCGCGUGCGGGGCGGUGAGAGGCCGGCGGCGCCCGCUCCCACCACCUGUGAAGAAAUUUUCGGCCCUAUUUCCGUCUCUGUGUUCGUUGAGUUGGGUCCGAAGAGCCCCCUCCUCCUCCUCCUCCCCCCCGCGCCGCCGCACCGUUGUGUUAACGCUGGAGCGAAGGAGAAAUGGAGCGGAGCGCUCCGGGCCAUUUCUGAUGGCAGACCCCCGCUCCCAGCGUCGAGCGCUGCACCCCGCUCCUGUUUUCGCCUUUUUCUCCUCCCAAAAUGGAGCUCCGGCGGCGAGCGGGGUCUGUCCCCGCGGUGCCUGCGUGGGAUCGGUGUUUCUCUCGAGACUGAACGCCAAAAUCAAUGUUAAGGCGCGGGGAGGGCAGAGCGGCGAUUGCAUAACUAUAACGCGGAGAAUGGAAAUGGCGCUGCGCGGGUUCUGCGUGGGUCUCCCCGCAGAGCCGGGCCUCCCCCAUCACCACGGAGCCGCCAUCCGACCCUGCGCGCAGCGCGUAUCUCCCUGCGAAGCCCCUGCGAAGCAGAGGGACGGGGCUGCUCGGCCCCGUUCUGCCGCGGGGCAUUCCGCGGGUGAGGGGGGCAGCGCGCAGCUCCACGCUGUGUUUCAGCCUGAGCCGAAUCUCAAAAGCUAUUGCUUUGUGUGUUGUCCAAGGGAAGAAAAAAAAAUCUCGCCUUAAAACUGUUGUUUUUAAUUUGAGGGACCGCUCCGUUUGGCCGGCCGCGGUGGUUUCUUAUUUGUGUUUAAUUGUCUGUCACCGAAAUGGAGGGGAGUGUGAGGUCUGAAUUCCCCCCCCCCCCCGGCAAAAGAGGAAUAUUCUUCCCUCUGCCCGAGUUUCCUCCAUAGGAUUUCUUCUUAAAGUGAGUGACAGUUUGCAUUAUGUUCCGCAAAGGUCACAACCAAAAGCAGUGGGGAAGCGCACUGCAGAAAAGAUGUGGAUUUAAAGCCCUUCCCCACCUCCGCGGCCCCGGUCAAAGGGAGAACGCGGUGCGACUGUUUGUGUCGCGGCUGGAGGCCUUACAGGGAGUGUUACCAAACGUAUGUCUUACGAAAGCGGGGCCCUUGCGGAAAUCUCAUGGACAGAGCUCCGAGGUGAGCACGGCCGUAUUUUCAAAAUAGAGCGCAGCUCCGUGGCGCGAUGGGUGACCUCUGGGCUGCACUCCGGCAGCACGCUGCCCUCUGCGCCUGUCCCCACAAACCGGGGGGCUGAGGCGAGCGAGGUUGGAUUUGCGCUGCCGGGGGCUUUUGUUGCGCGCAGAGGGCAGCGGCGGCGACGGGCCGGGGCCCACGUGAAGAGGAACGCGAAGUAACGAUGCUCGAGGUUUCCCGUGUCGUCCUCACGGCGUGAGCAGGAGCGGAGCGCCGGACCCGCGCGUCGGUAGUAGAAGAGCGACCUGCGCGCCUCGUGGGGUGAAUGCUCCCGCAUCCUCGGUCGGAAAUCACCGAUUUCGGGAAUAACCGCUAAUUGAACGUUAGCUUUCAAUUAGUCUCAGUGCGAAGUCGUUUAAAUGUCGGCGCAGUCACUCCGUUCCCCCUCGCUUGCCCGACGGCUCGGUUAUUUUGAUAUGCGCGGUUUUUGGAAGGACUGCGAGGCGCGCAGCAGAGGGCAGGGGCAGCGGCGGUGCCGUCGGGGCGGCUGAGACCGAGUGGCCGCUGCGCGGGCGCGCAGGUGGCGUGCGGAGGAGCACAGAGGGGCAGCGCGCAGAGCAGGUUGCGCGAGUUUUAGUCCGCCGGACCUCGACCCGAGCCCCACGGGCCGGGAGGAUCCCGCUCGCCCUUCCCGUGUGAAUUUUGUUUCUUUUUUUACCCCCCUUUUAUUUCCCCCUCUCCCUUUCCUGCCCGACGGCGCGUCCUCCCCGAAGGUGGUGCGGUGCCGCGGUGCGCGGAGCCCUCCCGACUUCAUGACGGCGGCGCUCAUAAAGCCAUUCGCUUCUUUCCAAAGCCAUAAACAAACGUCGUGUUAGGUCAAGAUUGAUGGUGUCCAUGCAAUAAAACCGGGCCAGGUCAGGAAGGAAUAAAAUUCAAUCAGAGCGCGCGGAAUCAUUUUUCAGGGGACAGAAAGACAGAAAAGGAGACGGGGGUCAGGGGAGGCGAUGCCGCCGGUCCCAGCGCACCGCCGCCG